RNAcentral lists this long non-coding RNA (1950 nucleotides) under Gossypium barbadense (sea-island cotton). RNAcentral describes it as "long non-coding RNA (GBAR_LNC002677)". Lineage: Eukaryota; Viridiplantae; Streptophyta; Magnoliopsida; Malvales; Malvaceae. The record is from RNAcentral.
AUAGGUUAACGCAUAUAUAUUCACGCAUAUUUAUAAGAUAACAUCAUCGUAUACCAAAACCAAGAUUUGUUAGCCAUACCAUCGGUUGACCUUACAUUCAUUUCACAGAAUCAUUUACUUUAUUAGCUUAUACAUGCCAUUGAUUUCCAAAAUAAAGUUUUUUUAUAUACCGAAAUCUUGAGGUUGAUAGUGUGAUGUGUCUCUGACCAAAUCCGACCUCCGAGCUCUUAACACUAUAAAACAGGGAAAAAGGAAACGGGGUAAGCACUUCGUGCUUAGUAAGCUCAUGUUACAAGAAUUAUACUUACCUAAUAUUUUCAAUACAAUACAAUAAACAUUCAUAUAUCCAUUCAAUGCAUUAUUACCCUAAUAUGCACAAACUCAACAUUCAAGUUAGUACAAUAAUUUCCAUGUACCAAUAAUAUAUACCAUGAUUGAUGAGCUCAUCAAUACCAUGAUUUCCAUUUCCUUGUUAUUUUUCCAUAUUUAUCCCGUUGAAUUUAUCGAAAUUUCGAUGGAUUUUUCAGAUGUACACUUUUAGUGUACAAUUCCGGGUCCGUCAAUUCAUAUUAUUGUGUGCACAUUUCCAUUUCAGAGAGCACACUCCCGCGAACCUCAACCUUACAGCGGGAUUACCAGUCCAGGCUAAAUCCCCUGUAAUAUAAACUCAUAGAGUAUUGUCGGGAUUACUAGUCCAGGCUAAAUCCCCUGCAACGACAAUUACUCUAAUGAUCUUGGAUCUGAAUUACCAGUCCAAGCUAAAUUCAGACCCUAAUUCGGAUUACUCGUCCGGGCUAAAUCCAUUUUCCACAUAUUCUUCGGGAGGGCUAUAUCAGGAUAGGAUCACCCGUCCGGGCUUGAUCCUUUUUACCGUCAAUUCCUUUUCAGAGAUCCAUCGAAUUUUCCUUUCAUUCAACCGGGAUUUCUUCCUCUUUUAUCAAAUAUGUCAAUGUUUCAUAAAAUUUCAUAUAAUGAACAUUCAAAUCAUAUUCAUAUCAAAAACAUGCAUUUCAAGCAUUUAAGAAUAUAAUUCAAGUUACACGAACUUACCUUGAUACUUAUUUGUAAACAAAAAAAAUCUACUGAUCCCGAACUUUUUCUUUUCCUUGAUCUAGCUUCGUAUUUGAAUCUUCUGGAUCUAAAUAAAUAAAUUUAAUUAUCAAUUAAAUGCAUUUCAUAUUCACAUGCAACAUUCUCUAUAAUUCAACUAUUAUUAUUUAUAGUUUAUUCAAAGCUGUCUAUUUGAGUCAUAGUCACUAAAUUAUUUAUAACCAGGGAUUUAAAUAGCGGUCUGAUAUCGUUAUAGUGGCCGUUAUAUAGUGGUAGCGGCACCGUCCAAAACCGCUAUUGCUAAAAAUAGCAGUGUGAUGCGGAGUCACACCGAUAGCGGUGGGUCGCGGCCGCAAUUUAACGGGUAACGGCCAAUUGCGGCAAUAAUGGACCGCUAUUUCUGUUAUUUCCCGUUACAGCAAAUUAAAAAAAUGCAUCUUCUCUACACAAAAAUAAACAGCAACAGUGAAACACAAUCAAAGGGAAUAUAUUCCUCUACCUCCAAAAUCAGAGUGUUUUCAAUAAAAAAAUAAAAAGAAGACCAAAUAAACAGGGGAAGAGGGCCUCGCCUCACUAUUGUUCAUCAUCUUCGUCCCCUUCAUGCCCACGCCCACCUUUUGCUUCCUCCCCCUUCUUCUUUUGCUCCCUGCUUCUAGCCAUUCCACUUUUUGCAGGGGAAGAAGCUGAAAUUUUGUCUUGAUUUUUGCUUGUUUUUGCAGUGCAAAUAGACUUUAGGUUAGGGAUGAAGAUGAAGGGAGAAGGCCUCUUCAGUUUGAUAAGAGUUUUGAGAGGAUAUGAUAUGAGGUUUUUGAGACUUGAGAGGACGAUUCACAAUAGAAUUUAGGAGGCCUCUUCAGUUUUUUCUUUUGAUUUCCCUUUUUCUUUAUUUUUUUAUUUUUU